This is a long non-coding RNA of Gossypium arboreum, 1423 nucleotides long. RefSeq lists it as uncharacterized. The transcript is spliced from 2 exons. The record is from RefSeq and is a predicted model, not a curated record. Lineage: Eukaryota; Viridiplantae; Streptophyta; Magnoliopsida; Malvales; Malvaceae.
UAAAGCAAAAUAACCUAAUAAAACAGAAGAAGAAACUGAAUCAACUAGAAAACUAAAAGAAACUUAACCAAAUAAAACAGAAGAAGAAACUGAAUCAACUAGAAAACUAAAAGAAACUCAGGCCUGGAAACCCUUCUUCUCUGUCCUUUGAAAACAAAGCCUAUCAUGUAUCAGUCAUUUAAAAGACUGAUGCUGCUCUAAAAUCAUGCAUUUCAAUCCUCAUUCUCUGUCAAAAUCACGAGUUCUUCUGACAGACCCAAUGUCACAUAAUCUGGACUCUAUUUUGCCACUUAACCAUCGUCAUCACCGCUUCCUUUAUCGCGAUUCACCAGUCUUUCCACCGCAUGUGGAACCUUCUCCAUCCAGUAUUGGGAAUUUUCAUAUCGUCGUCCUUCUAUCACCAUCCCGUGAGCCGUUUUUUUGGCUUCCCUUGGAGUUUACUUUACAUAUUAUGGUCAACGCAUCUCCUUCAACACAAAUGUCUUGGAAACCCAUUUCCUCCGCCAUAGUGAUUGCUUGCAAACACGCCCUUGCCUCUGCCAUAACUAGAUCUGGAAUAUUCUCCCAUUGAAAGGUACAAGCAGCCAUUACUAACCCUUCUUUAUUUCGAGCUAAAAUUCCUUAUACUGAUCUUCUCGUGUGUUGGUUAAAUGAGGCGUCAAAGUUGAUUUUUAUAAUGUUAUCAUCCGGUGGUUUCCAAACAGAAUCAUUGACUCCAUUCGCAUUUUUUAAAAACUCCCUCAUAAAUGCUAUUUCUGCAUAAUAAGCAUUGAUAAACGCCACUAUUUCAUUUACUUGUUCUCUUGUUCCUUCAUGAUAAAUCUUAUUGCGAUUGUACCAAAUAGCCCAGUAUACGAUAGAUCUUAUUUUACAUGCUUCUGUAUUCUGACUGUCGAACUCUGUUUCUAACCAUUUUUUCCAAUUGGGUUCUCUAUUGCAUGUUGUAUUUGUCGCUCCCAUCCCUCGCAAUACUUGCUGCAUGAAAGUGCAAUCCCUAAAUAGGUGGCUCACUGUUUCCUCAUUUGCUUGACACAAAGGGCAAAGUGUAUUUACAACCAGUUUACGGAUUCUUAGGUUGUGUAAAGUGGGUAUGAACUCAUUUGCUAUUCUCCACAUAAGUAUACAGAUUACUUGGUACCUUAAGACCCCAUAACUUUGUAAAGAAAGUAGAUGAAAUUUCAUUAUGUAAUAUAGGAUCCCUAUUAUAAUAACCCAUUUGUAGCCACUUUUAACUAUGUAUACCCCUGUAUUGUCACCUCUCCAUAUUAACUCAUCCUGCGGUCUGCUACACACCAAUGGAGUUGAAAGAAUAUUUUUCAGUUGCUCCUCUCCGAAUAGUGAUCGGAUAGUGUCUUGCUUCCAGGUAGUAGUAUCCCUAUUGAUUAAAUCAGAAACAACAGUAUAUCUGAUAUCUAUGUUGUGA